AUUGCCCCAGUAACGGCGAGUGAAGCGGCAACAGCUCAAAUUUGAAAUCUGGCCCCAGGCCCGAGUUGUAAUUUGCAGAGGAUGCUUUUGGCGCGGUGCCUUCCGAGUUCCCUGGAACGGGACGCCAUAGAGGGUGAGAGCCCCGUACGGUUGGACACCAAGUCUUUGUAAAGCUCCUUCGACGAGUCGAGUAGUUUGGGAAUGCUGCUCAAAAUGGGAGGUAUAUUUCUUCUAAAGCUAAAUAUUGGCCAGAGACCGAUAGCGCACAAGUAGAGUGAUCGAAAGAUGAAAAGCACUUUGAAAAGAGGGUUAAACAGCACGUGAAAUUGUUAAAAGGGAAGCGCUUAUGACCAGACUUGCGCCCGGUGAAUCACCCAGCUCUCGCGGCUGGGGCACUUUGCCGGCUCAGGCCAGCAUCAGCUCGCUGUCGGGGACAAAAGCUUCGGGAACGUAGCUCUCUUCGGGGAGUGUUAUAGCCCGUUGCACAAUACCCUUCGGCGGGCUGAGGUACGCGCUCCGCAAGGAUGCUGGCGUAAUGGUCAUCAGCGACCCGUCUUGAAACACGGACCAAGGAGUCAACCUUAUGUGCGAGUGUUUGGGUGUCAAACCCCUACGCGUAAUGAAAGUGAACGCAGGUGAGAGCUUCGGCGCAUCAUCGACCGAUCCUGAUGUUCUCGGAUGGAUUUGAGUAAGAGCAUAUAGGGUUGGACCCGAAAGAAGGUGAACUAUGCGUGUAUAGGGUGAAGCCAGAGGAAACUCUGGUGGAGGCUCGCAGCGGUUCUGACGUGCAAAUCGAUCGUCAAAUAUGCGCA
This 812-nucleotide ribosomal RNA is filed under the name Colletotrichum sp. RNAcentral describes it as "partial large subunit ribosomal RNA". It matches the Rfam family "Eukaryotic large subunit ribosomal RNA", at positions 74 to 917 of the family's 3401-position model. Lineage: Eukaryota; Fungi; Ascomycota; Sordariomycetes; Glomerellales; Glomerellaceae. The record is from RNAcentral.